Long non-coding RNA from Choloepus didactylus (southern two-toed sloth), 1360 nucleotides. RefSeq lists it as uncharacterized. The transcript has 3 exons. NCBI's taxonomy places the organism in Eukaryota, Metazoa, Chordata, Mammalia, Pilosa, Megalonychidae. The record is from RefSeq and is a predicted model, not a curated record.
UGUUCAGAAAUAGAUUGUGGUGAUAACUAUAUGAUUGUACUGUGAACAGUUGAUUGUAUACCAUGGAUGAUUGUAUGGCAUGUGAAUAUAUUUCAAUAAAACUGAAUUAACAAAAAAACCCCCAAGUACUGCAUUAUAAACAUUCAAGUCAGCAAUACCUGUGGAGAGACCAACUCACCAUGGCUGAGAAUCAGGUCUCAGUGUCCUCGGGCAAAAAGGACACCGGCAGGUCUCAGCCUCCACUCCAGAAAUUACGGCCAUCAUUGGUGAAAACCACAUCAGCUCAGGCAAGACAGUGAGAAAUCAAAGGCCAGGACCUGGCCCCCCGCAACCCCAGCGGCCUCAGGUACAGCCACUCUUCAUUAAGAUGUCUGUAGGUUCUCAUCUGCUGUCACUCUCCCUCCCCAAGGAGCCCACAUCUACCCACGAUGUGGCCUCGUGGCCCCUCCUUCCUCCCAUCCAUCCUGGAACCCCCAAAGGCCCCAGAAGAGAAGAGAGUCCACCUUCCCCAGACAGCCUGGCACCCUCACAACCCAGCCACACCCUGUAUCCUUUCCCAUACUGUAGACCCGUCAGAGACCACAGAAACCCUUUCCCCAGAAUCCGAGUCCCUGCCUGGACUGCUCAUCAGACAUCAAAGCCAGCCUGUUCUCCCGUGCAAAUGCUGCUGCUCCCUGCACCCUCCAACCACUAGGAGGGUCAUCUGCCCAUCUGCGGAAGUCACCCUACGUUCCCUGACCCGCGCCAACCCCACUGUGCACAGUCAGGGCUGGAGGUAAAGCCACAGGGAGUUGAGCAUGUGGAGGUGGGAGACACCCUUAAUGCUUUGGGGGCCACACCAGUCCCUGUGGGUCUCCCCCGAAGCAGCAGUGCCCAGGAAACUCACAGCACUGACCAACAAAUCCCCAUCCCCACAGGAGGAAUGGCUCUGAUGAAGGAGAAACACCCCCCACCUGAUGUCAGAUGAUACUAACAGAACCCAGAGAGGUUCCUGCUGACCCUGGCACUCGCCUGUGUAACUGGGCAUAAUUAAUUAACCAGUGCUGAUACCAAGGACUAAAUAAACCAAGACCAGGAGACCACACAGCCUGAAUUCCAUGAGUGAACAGUGCAGACGGCCUGAACCAGAGGAAAGAGGCUCAAGUCUGGGAAGUGGCAAAAAGUUGAUUGCAAAGAAACUGGUAUGCUGUGGUAUGAUUCCUGUUUCUUAAAGAUUAAAAGGGAACCAGCAGGAGCUUGGGCAAGAUGGUGGCAUAGAGAGGAGUGGAAGCUAAGUAGUACCCCUGGAACAACUACAAAAAACCAGAAACAACUAGUAAAUAAUCCAGAAUAACCGUGGAGGGACAAACAAGACCGUCCA